GGACACUUUUGCUUGCAGUUAGGUCAAGUGGAGGUGGCUUUGUACAAGUCAGUGCCAACGCGCUUGCUGUCACGGGCCUGGGGUCGCCUCAAUCAGGUGGAGCUGCCACACUGGCUGCGCAGGCCCGUCUACAGCCUGUACAUCUGGACGUUUGGGGUGAACAUGAAAGAGGCCGCUGUGGAGGACCUGCAUCACUACCGCAACCUCAGCGAGUUCUUCCGGCGCAAGCUGAAGCCGCAGGCCCGGCCUGUCUGUGGCCUGCACAGCGUGAUUAGCCCAUCGGAUGGAAGGAUCCUCAACUUUGGGCAGGUGAAGAACUGCGAGGUGGAGCAGGUAAAGGGGGUCACCUACUCCCUGGAGUCGUUCCUGGGCCCGCGUACCUGCACAGAGGACCUGCCCUUCCCACCAGCUGCGUCGUGUGACUCCUUCAAGAACCAGCUGGUCACCCGGGAAGGGAAUGAGCUCUAUCACUGUGUCAUCUACCUGGCCCCUGGGGACUACCACUGCUUCCACUCCCCCACCGACUGGACUGUGUCCCACCGGCGCCACUUCCCAGGCUCCCUGAUGUCAGUGAACCCUGGCAUGGCUCGCUGGAUCAAAGAGCUCUUCUGCCAUAACGAGCGGGUAGUCCUGACGGGGGACUGGAAACAUGGCUUCUUCUCACUGACAGCUGUGGGGGCCACCAACGUGGG
RNAcentral lists this small RNA (692 nucleotides) under Pan troglodytes (chimpanzee). RNAcentral describes it as "processed transcript". The record is from RNAcentral. Lineage: Eukaryota; Metazoa; Chordata; Mammalia; Primates; Hominidae.